This 427-nucleotide ribosomal RNA is filed under the name uncultured bacterium. Its description in RNAcentral is "partial 16S ribosomal RNA". It matches the Rfam family "Bacterial small subunit ribosomal RNA", at positions 355 to 774 of the family's 1533-position model. The record is from RNAcentral.
UGGGGAAUAUUGGACAAUGGGCGAAAGCCUGAUCCAGCCAUGCCGCGUGUGUGAAGAAGGUCUUCGGAUUGUAAAGCACUUUAAGUUGGGAGGAAGGGCAUUAACCUAAUACGUUAGUGUUUUGACGUUACCGACAGAAUAAGCACCGGCUAACUCUGUGCCAGAAGCCGAGGUAAUACAGAGGGGGCAAGCGUUAAUCGGAAUUACUGGGCGUAAAGCGCGCGUAGGUGGUUUGUUAAGUUGGAUGUGAAAUCCCCGGGCUCAACCUGGGAACUGCAUUCAAAACUGACUGACUAGAGUAUGGUAGAGGGUGGUGGAAUUUCCUGUGUAGCGGUGAAAUGCGUAGAUAUAGGAAGGAACACCAGUGGCGAAGGCGACCACCUGGACUAAUACUGACACUGAGGUGCGAAAGCGUGGGGAGCAAACA